UGAGAAUUAUAACCUUCUAUUCGUGAGAAGAUAAUUUAUUUGCACUGUGUUUCGAACAGACACCAUAAACCUCCACACCCCUAAAUCCGAAGCUGAAGCCUACUCUCUCUCUAGAAGGACUCGGAGGACGAAGGAGAGAGACUCAGCAAUGGCCAAGUCCUACCACUCCAGGUACGCCCGGAACGAAUCCAACAUGCACUCCGACGCCACGAUCAGAGAUUAAGCGUAGGGUUUGAUGUUUUGUGUUAUUUCUGUUUCUACGAGUUCAGAAUUCAUCCCAAAUUUGCAGCAUUGUUGUUAUUGAGUACAGUUGUAUCCAUCUUUUGAACUUAGUUUAUGAGGUUUUGGUCGAUUUGAGUUGAAUUUUGUAUCUCAUAGAAACUAAAACAGCGCAUAUCGAACCCAGAAUUUCAAUUUCUACUCUUUUUCCUCCUUUUUUUCCCUUCUCAUUACGGCCCCGUUUUUGUCUGAACUUUUUCCAUUUCCCCUCAAACUUUUGUACUUUCGUCCCGAUUAGUGGAAUCAAAAAACUAAAAACACACACACUAAAAUCCAAAUUAUUUCAACAUAAAAUCCAAAAUAAUCCAAUUUUGGAUUAAUCUGGAUUUUAGUAGUUUUUUGGUUAAUCCAAAAUAAUCCAAUUUUGGAUUUUAAUCUGAAUCAGAAAAAUAAGAAAUCUUGACCAAAAAUAUGAAGAAAAAAAAUACAAAAAUAAUCUGAAAUAAUGCAAUUUAUCCCAAACUGGGCCAAUAUUUCGUGUUGUCAAUUGCCCAUAAUUUGGAACGAUUAGUAUUUGAAUUACUCAGCUUUAAUGGGUGUCCUAUUCAUCAGUUAUAUUUUAUAGUUGUAUGAUUUGGCCAUCUCAUUUCAUGUUGGAAUAUUGAUUUGGUUUUGUAGGUUGAUUGGUUUCUUUGUUAGCAUGGUAUGGUUUUGGUUAUGUUGUAGUUCUUGACAUAUUUUUGGAUUAUUGGUGUUGAACAUUUGGCAAGGUUAAAAACAGAAGAGGCUGCGUCUGCUACCAGGGUAGUUUUGGCUUUGUAAGUGAAUUAGGGUAGGGCAAAGUUUUAGACAUAAAUGCCUAAGAACAAAUAGGGCCGUUCAUUAGCCCAGUGGUCGGGUGUUUGAUGCGCCGCUCAUUAGGUCAUACCUCUGGUUAAUGUACUACUGUGAUGUUCUUCUCAUGAUAAGAAAAGCUUUGGGAAUUGUUGUUAACUGGCAUGGAAAAAAUGCCAACUCUUGCUCUGGUAGGCGAGCAAAUAGGUCUGCCCAAUAAAGAAGGGGCGUGAAAACCCAAUAAGCAUGCACAUGGGUGGAGCCGAAUGAAGCAAACGUAGUUUUCUUACAGAAAUAGGCCCGAAUGAAGUAGUUAAUACAAAAUAUAAGUUUUAGUACAAAAUGUUAAGUGUGGAGUACAAAGUAGAGGGGAAAUCUUAGAACAUAACUACGCCUUAAGCCACGGUUCCACGUACUCGGCGUGAUCCUCCGGUUCCGCCAGUUGCUUUGCUUCUACUUCCGUACCUGGCAUAAGACGCGAUGAGCUGCAACGCCCAUUAGGAAACCAAACCUACAAUCUGCCAUCCCAAACUAAACCCCAACUAGCAGACAAAGAAAAUUAACAAAAGAACAUAUGCAACACAUAAUAGUGAACUAUCGAGUGUGUCGAUGCAAGGCUCAAUUAUUAGAUCUAAGGGCUAUUUAACUAAGUAAUGACUAGGGUCUCCAACCCCGUGGAGUACAACUCCUACCAACCGCUGAGCAUGAGCAUCCAAGGCUGAUCGGUACCCCCAUUUGCAAGGCGAUGACCUCUCCCAGGGUUAUUACCAAAGUAGUGUCUUCCGUAUCACAAGUUUGUAGGCUACGUUGGUUCCCGCCAUGCCAGUCUACUUCUUCACAAAGGAGUUGGUUCCGGAUCGUGACACUAUACUCCUACAAGGUCCAACCAAACCCAUGCCACCUUAAGGUUCACAAUAAUGCGCACGAUUUCGAUACGAAGGUUGCGGGCUUGUUGUCAAAGUACCUCAGUACUUGACCACCAAGCUUACCCAAAAACCAUUGUUAUUCAAUUUAAAAUAAUUAUUCCAUAACCCAAUGUGUCGACCCGGGGCUCGCACAUGCAACGUGUCCGUGGUGUCACGUAUAAAACAUAACUUGCCCAAAUAAGCAAAUCCAAACGCGACAAGAUCUAAUUAAGGAUUUAAUCAUUGUCAAGCCAUUUUCUACAAUUGUACAACAUAUUUACUCACAAAAGUUGCAUGCACCCACAAAUUUAAGCAACUCAACACACUAGGCACAUAAAUCAUUAUUUAAUUACUUUGCAGAAGUUUUCAGCGUUCUGCAAGUACAAAUAAAAAUAGAAAAUCUAUACUUACACUUGUCCUAAAUUCACUAAACUUUACAGAGUUGUUAGAAGAGGUGCUAGGGUUCGCAUGAAUCUGACUUUGAAGCAAAAUCAUUUUCAGAGAAGGAUAAUUUGCCAUCUUAUCCUCGAAGGACCCAAAACUAACACAUUUUGAGAAAUGGUGUAUCUCGCUUGGUUCAAACUAUUUUUGUCCAAAAGUUAAAGACAUAAAUCUCACAUAUGCAAAUCCUAAAAUUAAAAAAUAAAUAAAUAAAUGAAAAUAGUCUCGUCCUACUCGUGUUUUCUAUUAUAAACUACUUUUUUUACCUAUUUGUUAGAUAUGUUAAAUAUCUUACGAUACUCGAUACUAUGCGAUACACGAUACACGAUAAAUAGGAAACGAUACACGAUACACAUCUCAAUUUGACAACUAUGGCGAGGAUGUAAUUUCCAGAAGUUCAAGGGUAUUAAUGGUAUAGCAAUAAACCUCAUGGGAGGUUAGUGAAAUAAAAGAAAACCUUUUCACUUAAUUGUUUUAAUACAAUAGGCAAAAAAAUGUUCUCUGAGCCUUCUAGCUUUAGCUUUACUAGUGUAGAAACCGAUUCUAUUUUUUUUUUUAUAGCAGCAAAACAUAUACUACAGUAACUACAUUAACCUUAAGUACUAUGUUAUGGCAGUAUCGAAUAUAAAACAUCCUGAAAAAACAUAGAGGCUCAAUCAAAAAACACAGAAGAACACUGAGAAGAAGAUGCAGAUUUAGCCAGUUUAUCCUCAACUCCAUUCACUUUUUGGCGACAAAUUUGUUGACAUAACCAACCAAGAAAGCCAAAACUUGAUACCCAAAGCUCCAAAUGAAAGUUCCACUCGUAUGUAUAAAGAGGUUUUGUUUAGCUUUUUACGAGUUGCGGAGGAAACAAAAAACGGAAGGGAAAAGAUAGGAAAGAAAAAUGAAGUGAGCGUGCUAAGUUUUUAUUUCCCUCUUCAGUUAUGUAACGGAAGGGAAAAGAUAGGAAAGAAAAAUGAAGGGAAAGUGCUACGUUUUUAUUUCCCUUUUCAGUUAUGUUAGGAAAAUGAGAAGAAAAUGAAUAAUAUUUGUUCAAAAUUGUGUUUGUUUAGUUGCUUGUAGAAGCAGAGUGGUUGACCUCUAAACAUUUCUGGUGAUAAAUCAUAGUUGUCCUUUCCUAACUCAAACAGUUUAAUAAAAAUGGGAACUAGUUUGGUUUUACAUUAUUUGAUUGUUACCUAUGAGUCAUGAACAAUAAAUACUUAUAAAUGCUGAAAAUUCAAUUGAUACAUAAAUGGUGAACAAAUUUUAUGCUGAAAAUUCAAAUGAUAUGUAAGUAACGAAUAAAUUAUAUGUGAAUCUUGUAAAUCUUAAUUAUGACAUGCCUUUGCUGCUUCUAGUUCUUAUACAAAGUUACGCAAUAUUCAAGCAUGGAUUCUCUCUAUUUGCAUAAUAUUUCUCCAACUCAAGAUUUACUGGCAACUCACCUGAACCAGAAGCAACUCUGUCAUUCAUCGAUGCAUGGAGAGCCAAAAGAUUUUCUUGUCUGAAUUUUGCACGCCAUUCAUCAAUGCUUGCAACUUGAUCAGUUGUCAGAUUUGGGAU
This 3947-nucleotide long non-coding RNA is filed under the name Actinidia chinensis (golden kiwifruit). RNAcentral's name for it is "long non-coding RNA (ACHI_LNC009387)". Lineage: Eukaryota; Viridiplantae; Streptophyta; Magnoliopsida; Ericales; Actinidiaceae. The record is from RNAcentral.